GCCAGCCCGCUCAGAACUUAAAGGAAUUGACGGGGCCCGCACAAGCGGUGGAGUAUGUGGUUUAAUUCGAUGCAACGCGAAGAACCUUACCUGGUCUUGACAUCCCGGAGACCCUUAGGAAACUAGGGGUGCUUCCAUCUGGAAGAAUCUGGAGACAGGUGCUGCAUGGCUGUCGUCAGCUCGUGUCGUGAGAUGUUGGGUUAAGUCCCGCAACGAGCGCAACCCUUGCCUUUAGUUGCCAGCAGUUCGGCUGGGCACUCUAAAGGGACUGCCGGUGUUAAACCGGAGGAAGGUGGGGAUGACGUCAAGUCCUCAUGGCCUUUAUGACCAGGGCUACACACGUACUACAAUGGCCGAUACAAAGGGCAGCGACACUGCGAGGUGAAGCCAAUCCCGUAAAAUCGGUCUCAGUCCGGAUUGGAGUCUGCAACUCGACUCCAUGAAGUUGGAAUCGCUAGUAAUCGUGGAUCAGCAUGCCACGGUGAAUACGUUCCCGGGCCUU
RNAcentral lists this ribosomal RNA (502 nucleotides) under uncultured Desulfobulbus sp. RNAcentral's name for it is "bacterial SSU rRNA". It matches the Rfam family "Bacterial small subunit ribosomal RNA", at positions 903 to 1382 of the family's 1533-position model. Lineage: Bacteria; Pseudomonadati; Thermodesulfobacteriota; Desulfobulbia; Desulfobulbales; Desulfobulbaceae. The record is from RNAcentral.